UCGCUACUACCGAUCGGAUUUAUUAGUGAGACCUAAGGACUUGAGGUGAAAGAACUUUCUUGUUAUUAACCGUCAAGGAAAUAGUUCAAACUGAUAUUUCUAGAGGAAGUAA
Molecule: ribosomal RNA, 112 nt
Filed under: uncultured eukaryote
Lineage: Eukaryota
Description: partial small subunit ribosomal RNA
Rfam family: Eukaryotic small subunit ribosomal RNA
Source: RNAcentral